RNAcentral lists this ribosomal RNA (351 nucleotides) under Anaplasma marginale. Its description in RNAcentral is "bacterial SSU rRNA". It matches the Rfam family "Bacterial small subunit ribosomal RNA", at positions 1102 to 1453 of the family's 1533-position model. The record is from RNAcentral. Lineage: Bacteria; Pseudomonadati; Pseudomonadota; Alphaproteobacteria; Rickettsiales; Anaplasmataceae.
CCCUCAUCCUAAGUUACCAGCGGGUAAUGCCGGGCACUAUAAGGAAACUGCCAGUGAUAAACUGGAGGAAGGUGGGGAUGAUGUCAAGUCAGCACGGCCCUUAUGGGGUGGGCUACACACGUGCUACAAUGGCGACUACAAUAGGUUGCAACGUCGCAAGGCUGAGCUAAUCCGUAAAAGUCGUCUCAGUUCGGAUUGUCCUCUGUAACUCGAGGGCAUGAAGUCGGAAUCGCUAGUAAUCGUGGAUCAGCAUGCCACGGUGAAUACGUUCUCGGGUCUUGUACACACUGCCCGUCACGCCAUGGGAAUUGGCUUAACUCGAAGCUGGUGCGCCAACCGUAAGGAGGCAGC